This 253-nucleotide ribosomal RNA is filed under the name uncultured bacterium. RNAcentral's name for it is "partial 16S ribosomal RNA". It matches the Rfam family "Bacterial small subunit ribosomal RNA", at positions 524 to 776 of the family's 1533-position model. The record is from RNAcentral.
UACGUAGGGGGCAAGCGUUGUCCGGAUUUAUUGGGCGUAAAGAGCGUGUAGGCGGUUAUGCAGGUCCGCUGUGAAAACUGGAGGCUUAACCUCCAGACGUCGGUGGAAACCGUAUGACUAGAGUCCGGAAGAGGAGAGUGGAAUUCUUGGUGUAGCGGUGAAAUGCGCAGAUAUCAGGAAGAACACCCGUGGCGAAGGCGGCUCUCUGGGACGGUACUGACGCUGAGACGCGAAAGCGUGGGGAGCGAACAGG